CAGCAGCCGCCGCGGUAAUACGGAGGGGGCUAGCGUUGUUCGGAAUUACUGGGCGUAAAGCGCACGUAGGCGGCUUGGUAAGUUAGAGGUGAAAGCCUGGAGCUCAACUCCAGAAUUGCCUUUAAGACUGCCGAGCUAGCAGGUGAGAGAGGUAAGUGGAAUUCCGAGUGUAGAGGUGAAAUUCGUAGAUAUUCGGAAGAACACCAGUGGCGAAGGCGGCUUACUGGCUCAUACUGGACACUGAGGUGCGAAAGCGUGGGGAGCAAACAGGAUUAGAUACCCCUGUAGUCCCUGUCUCUUAUAC
This 304-nucleotide ribosomal RNA is filed under the name uncultured bacterium. Its description in RNAcentral is "partial 16S ribosomal RNA". It matches the Rfam family "Bacterial small subunit ribosomal RNA", at positions 506 to 807 of the family's 1533-position model. The record is from RNAcentral.